This 487-nucleotide ribosomal RNA is filed under the name uncultured Chlorobiales bacterium. Its description in RNAcentral is "bacterial SSU rRNA". It matches the Rfam family "Bacterial small subunit ribosomal RNA", at positions 386 to 879 of the family's 1533-position model. The record is from RNAcentral. Lineage: Bacteria; Pseudomonadati; Chlorobiota; Chlorobiia; Chlorobiales.
GAGCAGCACGCCCGCGUGAGGGAUGAGGGCUUUUGCUCGUAAACCUCUGUAGUGAGGGAAAAAAUUUCCAUUCUAUGGAAUAUGAUGGUACCUCAAAAGUAAGCCCCGGCUAACUACGUGCCAGCAGCCGCGGUAAUACGUAGGGGGCAAACGUUGUCCGGAUUUACUGGGUGUAAAGGGUGCUCAGGCGGUUUUGUAAGUCAGAAGUGAAAUCCUAGGGCUUAACUCUGGAACUGCUUUUGAUACUGCAAGGCUUGAAUGUGGAAGAGGAGGAUGGAAUUUCUGGUGUAGCAGUGAAAUGCGUAGAUAUCAGAAAGAACACCAGUGGCGAAGGCGGUCCUCUGGUCCACUAUUGACGCUAAAGCACGAAAGCGUGGGGAGCAAACAGGAUUAGAUACCCUGGUAGUCCACGCCUUAAACGAUGAAUACUAGACGUUGGGGUUAAACUCAGUGUCGCAGCUAACGCAUUAAGUAUUCCACCUGGGGA